AACGAACGCUGGCGGCGUGCCUAACACAUGCAAGUCGUGCGAGAAAGUUCCUUCGGGAGCGAGUAAAGCGGCGCACGGGUGAGUAACACGUAGGUAACCUGCCCCCCAGUCUGGAACAACUAGAGGAAACUCUAGCUAAUGCCGGAUGAGACCACGAUCCCUUCGGGGGUUGCGGCCAAAGAUGGCCUCUACUUGUAAGCUAUCGCUGAGGGAUGGGCCUGCGGGCCAUUAGCUUGUUGGUGAGGUUACGGCUCACCAAGGCUGUGAUGGCUAGCUGGUCUGAGAGGAUGACCAGCCACACUGGGACUGAGACACGGCCCAGACUCCUACGGGAGGCAGCAGUGGGGAAUAUUGCGCAAUGGGCGAAAGCCUGACGCAGCGACGCCGCGUGGGUGA
This 396-nucleotide ribosomal RNA is filed under the name uncultured bacterium. RNAcentral's name for it is "bacterial SSU rRNA". It matches the Rfam family "Bacterial small subunit ribosomal RNA", at positions 29 to 408 of the family's 1533-position model. The record is from RNAcentral.